AACGAACGCUGGCGGCAUGCCUAACACAUGCAAGUCGAACGAGACCUUCGGGUCUAGUGGCGCACGGGUGCGUAACGCGUGGGAACCUGCCCUUAGGUUCGGAAUAACUCCCCGAAAGGGUGCUAAUACCGGAUAAUGUCUUCGGACCAAAGAUUUAUCGCCUUUGGAUGGGCCCGCGUUGGAUUAGCUAGUUGGUAGGGUAAAAGCCUACCAAGGCGACGAUCCAUAGCUGGUCUGAGAGGAUGAUCAGCCACACUGGGACUGGGACACGGCCCAGACUCCUACGGGAGGCAGCAGUGGGGAAUAUUGGACAAUGGGCGAAAGCCUGAUCCAGCAAUGCCGCGUGAGUGAUGAAGGCCUUAGGGUUGUAAAGCUCUUUUACCCGGGAUGAUAAUGACAGUACCGGGAGAAUAAGCUCCGGCUAACUCCGUG
Molecule: ribosomal RNA, 432 nt
Filed under: uncultured bacterium
Lineage: Bacteria
Description: partial 16S ribosomal RNA
Rfam family: Bacterial small subunit ribosomal RNA
Source: RNAcentral